This 229-nucleotide ribosomal RNA is filed under the name uncultured Flavobacterium sp. RNAcentral describes it as "partial 16S ribosomal RNA". It matches the Rfam family "Bacterial small subunit ribosomal RNA", at positions 1 to 236 of the family's 1533-position model. Lineage: Bacteria; Pseudomonadati; Bacteroidota; Flavobacteriia; Flavobacteriales; Flavobacteriaceae. The record is from RNAcentral.
CUCGGAGUUUGAUCCUGGCUCAGGAUGAACGCUAGCGGCAGGCUUAACACAUGCAAGUCGAGGGGUAUAGUUCUUCGGAGCUAGAGACCGGCGCACGGGUGCGUAACGCGUAUGCAAUCUACCUUUUACAGAGGGAUAGCCCAGAGAAAUUUGGAUUAAUACCUCAUAGUAUGUGAGAAUCGCAUGGUUUUCACAUUAAAGUCACAACGGUAAAACGAUGAGCAUGCGU